CAAGUCGAACGGGCAUCUUCGGAUGUCAGUGGCAGACGGGUGAGGAACACGUGGGAACAUGCCCUUCGGUUCGGAAUAACUCAGGGAAACUUGAGCUAAUACCGGAUACGCCCGAGAGGGGAAAGAUUUAUUGCCGAAGGAUUGGCCCGCGUCUGAUUAGCUAGUUGGUGAGGUAACGGCUCACCAAGGCGACGAUCAGUAGCUGGUCUGAGAGGAUGAUCAGCCACAUUGGGACUGAGACACGGCCCAAACUCCUACGGGAGGCAGCAGUGGGGAAUAUUGGACAGUGGGCGAAAGCCUGAUCCAGCCAUGCCGCGUGAGUGAUGAAGGCCUUAGGGUUGUAAAGCUCUUUUAUCCGGGAAGAUAAUGACUGUACCGGAAGAAUAAGCCCCGGCUAACUUCGUGCCAGCAGCCGCGGUAAUACGAAGGGGGCUAGCGUUGCUCGGAAUCACUGGGCGUAAAGGGCGCGUAGGCGGAUGAUUAAGUCGGAGGUGAAAGCCCAGGGCUCAACCCUGGAAUUGCCUUCGAUACUGAUCGUCUCGAGAAUGGAAGAGGUAAGUGGAAUACCGAGUGUAGAGGUGAAAUUCGUAGAUAUUCGGUGGAACACCAGUGGCGAAGGCGACUUACUGGUCCAUUUCUGACGCUGAGGCGCGAAAGCGUGGGGAUCAAACAGGAUUAGAUACCCUGGUAGUCCACGCCGUAAACGAUGAAUGCCAGCCGUUGGGGAGCUUGCUCUUCAGUGGCGCAGCUAACGCUUUAAGCAUUCCGCCUGGGGAGUACGGUCGCAAGAUUAAAACUCAAAGGAAUUGACGG
This 813-nucleotide ribosomal RNA is filed under the name uncultured bacterium. RNAcentral's name for it is "bacterial SSU rRNA". It matches the Rfam family "Bacterial small subunit ribosomal RNA", at positions 58 to 916 of the family's 1533-position model. The record is from RNAcentral.